AUGAACCUAUCUUUUUAUCGCGGAAGUGAUCUUGAAGACAUAUAUGUCUGCCUGCUAUGUUCGCGUGGCGAUUUUGGUAUGGAUCAAUGUAGUAAUAAUAGUCCAAGUUUCGAUGAAUAUGUACAAAGGCGGCAUGCUUGUUUGUUGAUGUCGACUAUAUUGGAGGAUGUCUUUCAUUGCUUCUUAAAAGAAUACCGGAAGUCACUAGUCAACCAGGAACAACUGAAACUUGAGCGACUACUGAAGGCAUAUAGCAUACUGCCUCCAUUCCUGAAACUAAGGCGUAUUUUUUUUCCGUUAAGACAUGUAUUUGACCAAUAA
This 321-nucleotide ribosomal RNA is filed under the name Triticum aestivum (bread wheat). RNAcentral's name for it is "partial small subunit ribosomal RNA". The record is from RNAcentral. Lineage: Eukaryota; Viridiplantae; Streptophyta; Magnoliopsida; Poales; Poaceae.